Molecule: ribosomal RNA, 415 nt
Filed under: uncultured bacterium
Lineage: Bacteria
Description: bacterial SSU rRNA
Rfam family: Bacterial small subunit ribosomal RNA
Source: RNAcentral
UGGGGAAUAUUGCACAAUGGGGGAAACCCUGAUGCAGCGACGCCGCGUGAGUGAAGAAGUAUUUCGGUAUGUAAAGCCCUAUCGCAGGGAAGAAAAUGACGGUACCUGACUAAGAAGCCCCGGCUAACUACGUGCCAGCAGCCGCGGUAAUACGUAGGGGGCAAGCGUUAUCCGGAUUUACUGGGUGUAAAGGGAGCGUAGACGGCUGUGCAAGUCUGAUGUGAAAGGCAGGGGCUCAACUCCUGGACUGCAUUGGAAAUCUGUGUAGCUUGAGUGCCGGAGAGGUAAGCGGAAUUCCUAGUGUAGCGGUGAAAUGCGUAGAUAUUAGGAGGAACACCAGUGGCGAAGGCGGCUUACUGGACUGAAACUGACGCUGAGGCACGAAAGCGUGGGGAGCGAACAGGAUUAGAUACCC